This 322-nucleotide ribosomal RNA is filed under the name uncultured bacterium. Its description in RNAcentral is "bacterial SSU rRNA". It matches the Rfam family "Bacterial small subunit ribosomal RNA", at positions 29 to 334 of the family's 1533-position model. The record is from RNAcentral.
AACGAACGUUGGCGGCGUGCUUAAUACAUGCAAGUCGAACGAGAAAGUACCUUCGGGUACGAGUAUAGUGGCAAACGGGUGAGUAAUACUUAGGUAACGUACCUCUAGGAGGGGGAUAACCUGUCGAAAGAUGGGCUAAUACCGCAUAGGACCACAGUCCCUACGGGGACAGGGGUGAAAGAUGGCCUCUACUUGUAAGCUAUCACCUGGAGAUCGGCUUAAGCACCAUUAGCUUGUUGGUGAGGUAACGGCUCACCAAAGCUGCGAUGGUUAGCUGAUCUGAGAGGAUGAUCAGCCACACUGGAACUGCGACACGGUCCAG